RNAcentral lists this long non-coding RNA (655 nucleotides) under Mus pahari (shrew mouse). Its description in RNAcentral is "predicted gene 15810 (MGP_PahariEiJ_G0002736.1)". Lineage: Eukaryota; Metazoa; Chordata; Mammalia; Rodentia; Muridae. The record is from RNAcentral.
AGAUGUCGUUGGCUUCCAGUAACAGUGGAAGGAAGACUAUUCUGGUAGUUCUCCCGAGCCCAGUGCUUAGCUGGGCCAUAGCCUUGUGGCAUCCUCCAACCCCUCAAAAGAUUGGUAUAACUGACAGCAUAAUCCUACACCAGGUUCCUGACUUUGCAGAAAUGAAAACUAAGGGGGAAAAAAAAGAGGCAGAGUCUACAGGGGAGGAAGAAAGACAGUUCACAUGUAGAGGUGGCUUGCAUAUCCGACGCUUUUGGACACUGCUCAGUACCAGGAAGUCCCACCUUACACUUUCAAACAAGCUAUCAGCCUGCCUGCCUCUGGAAGGACAUUCUUGGUCAAGCACUUAGAGGCACAUCUUGCCUCUAGUACAAACUACAUUUUUGAAGGCAUGUGUGUUAGAGCUGAAGAGAUGGCUCAGCAGUUAGGAGCGCUGGCUAUUCUUCCAGAAGAUGCAGAUUCAAUGCUCAUAUGGCAGUUCACAAUCAGAGGUAACUUCAUUAAAAAUUUGGAAGCACACAUGUCAAGAAAGAGGGGAUAAAAGUCACCCAGGAUCCCAGUCAUGUAGACACAGCUGCAGAUUCUCACAACUCCUUCUGCAAGACCAUCACAGCCUAGAAAGCCCACAAAUGUGGAUUUGAAGUGAUACUAACAU